RNAcentral lists this long non-coding RNA (1406 nucleotides) under Homo sapiens (human). RNAcentral's name for it is "non-protein coding lnc-AHNAK2-6:1". Lineage: Eukaryota; Metazoa; Chordata; Mammalia; Primates; Hominidae. The record is from RNAcentral.
CUCACUUUAAAACAGAAUAAAGAUGUUCCCAAAGUUCACGUCUGACGCCCUCUGGGGCAACAGCCUGGCCCAGCUGUGCUGAGUGGCAGUAGCAGCAGCCAGGGCUCUGGGCACACCCUCCUGCCAGCUCACCCGAGUUCCCCAUUGGCGGCCACAGGCACCCGCAGCAGACCGGCUCGAUGCACGGGGCACAGAAGGUCAGGGCCUGCCCAGGCUGUGGUCUCUGGGGCAGCACGCAAGAGUGCAAAUCCCAGCUGUCACACGCUCUCACGGAGGACACCUCCCCACAGACAUGCAGCACACACAUGCACACAACACACACAGAUGUGUGCACCUACAGACAUGCACAUGUAUGCACAUGCACACUUACACACGCACACACACACGGCACACACGCACACACACGGCACACCCACACGCACACACGCGGCACACACACGGCACACCCACACGCACACACAUGGCACACACACGCACACACGCACGGCACACCCAUGGUACACACACGCACACCCACGGCACACACACAGCACACACACGCACACACACGCGGCACACACGCACACACACGGCACACACACGCACACACACGACGCACACACGCACACCCUGGACCACAGCCUGGGCCACCACAGGAGUGACAGCCACAGCAGGAAGUCCUGCCUGGGUCCACGUUCCUGCGUCAUUUAACGCCUGUUCGCUGGGCACCAGCUCUGUGCCAGGCUUGCACUGGGCACAAGGACACUGUGGGGAGCAGAGGCAGGGCCCUGGACAGCGUGGUCCGUGGGACAGCACGUGGGUGGCAGCUCUGCCUGGAACACAACUCCCCUACCCGUCUACCUGCUGUGGUCCAAGCUACCGCCCCUCUUGCCUAGUGAAAGCCCAGGCCUCGGGCCGCCCACUCUGCUUGUCUCCCCUCCAUGUCCCAUCCCCGUAGCCCCAGCUCAGCUCUGUCCUCCCACAGCCUCCCCCUCCUCACCGGCCCCAACUCCUGCUGCUGCGGCUCCUUGGGCCUCAGCACAACAUAGGCAGGUGUCUGCUGACCGCCCAGUCCCCAGUACCACCUUCUUUACACAGGACUGGACCCUGGACACCUUGCUGGCCCCUCUCUGCAGUGGAUGCCAAGGGAGGGCAGGGUCUCUGCUUGACACCCUGCCCAGUGGAAAGAUGUGGCGCCGAAAGCAAGGACUGUGGAGGGGGCGCUGGGACAGGGUGUGGAGGUUCCAGGGCAGGAAGGUCGGUGUGAGCCGGGUCCGGAGAGCCAGGGCAGGUGUGGGGAGAGGCUGGGUCCAGUGGAGGCCUGCAUUCCUGUCUGUGCGUGGGGUGGGGGUGGGGGUGGCACUGAGCAGAGGGAAGGGGACCCUGGCGGGGACCCCGGGUGGAAGGGACGGAGGGUGACAGGUUUG